UUAUUAUGACCCGACUUCAACUUUUUUCACUUCCCUUACAAACCCUAAUUUUUAUCUCAUCUUCUUCUGCCGUUCAUUCCUAUUCACAAGGAAUCAAGACUUCAAAAUCACCAAGAACCGCAUCAACAAUCAACAUAAUAUGUUGUUUAGAAUUUUGUUUUUUUUCGAACGGUGGGUUUUGACAAGAGAGAGAGAGAGACAAAGGCGGUGUCGGAGGCACGGCGCCGGUGUUUCUCCUCAACUUGCUAGGGUUCCGGCACUGUCUACAGAUUUGUCACUUUGUUCUGAUCAUCCGAAGACAAGUAAUCGCUAGGGUUCGGUUCCGGCACUGUGUUCAGAUCCUCAACUAUCUAGGGUUUCGGCGAACUUUUUGAUUUCGCUGGUUUUAAUUCAUGGCAACGACGACGACUUCACGCAUAUUAGUGUUCUGUUUGGUUUCUCCCACAGAUAUAAAGGACCCAAUGACUCGAUCCAGUGAACAGGUGAAGGUGGCGCCAACUAAACUCAGGAUUACUACUGUCGUUGAUACCAAAGCAAUCUAAAGGUGAAGCUUCUAUUGUUGUUAACGAUGGUGUGCGGUACUUUGUCGUUUUCGAGUCAGUUAACCACCCCGAAAACCGAAAGCCCGAGACCAGGAUGCAGACAAACAUCCUUAACCGAUCAAUCUCGGGUCAAAUUUUAAGACAGCAUGCAAGACUUCAAAGAGCAUACUCGGACCACAAUCUGUGUUAUUCUGCUAAUAAUGUUCAGGCGUCGAUGAAUCAACCGAAGUUGAAAAACAGCCGUUCAAUGGGAGUUUUCAACUUGAAACCGUCAAGCUUGAUUGUUCCAAAUGCACUCAAGACAGAUGUUGGUGAAAUAAUGGCGAAGGAAGGGAAGAAACGGGCAAAACAAUGAACUCGACGGUGAUAACGAAGAAGAAAAGGGAUGUGACGAAGGUUGUAAGGUGGAUUACAACGAUGACGAAGACAGUGUUAUCGUUAAUCAGGAGACGUUCUCUAGAAUGUUGAAGCACGUAUCUUGGUCUGAUACCAAGCUUUUAUCACAACUAGCUUCUCUGUAACAGGGCUUACGUUUUCCCAGAGAUUGAGGUAUUUGUGUUUUGUUGAUAUGUUACCACCAGUGUAUAAGACACAUUUGGCUUAAGAAACAACUCUUAAUCUUUGGCUAGAAACGCUCAUCACACAUCUAGAAGGAGGGUGAUUUUUGCAGGUCAGCAGCAUAAGCGGAUCUCUGUGAAACUCAAGGUCUAGGAGAGAGGGAGCUAUAGAGAGAAAGAAACAGCCGCAAUCUUUAGUUCAGCACCAUUUAGACCAUCGAUCACCACCGCUGGCUACCGUCACCGACUUUGUCUCCCACAAAUACCAUUGCACCUGCAAACCCCCUAAUCGAACACUAGGGCAUCCGAAUAUCCUUCAGUCGAAUACCCAGUCGGAGUGGGAGGAUUCGAUGAGUUGUGUAGUGUUUGAAGUGGAGGUUUCAUCGGAGAAUAGGUUUUUAUCGAUAAAGUGUCUCAACAAGUCAUAAAAUAUCCUCAUGUGUGUCGGCGAACAGGAUCGUUGCCGGAGAUUAACAUACCCGUCAACAGUUCAAGUGUCCUCCUACUAACGGUUCGGUGGCCAACCCGUGCCGUGAUGGACUAUUGACUUAACGACGGUGUAAUGGAAACCGUACCCUGUUUCCGGUGCCGACGCUAUCUUCUUCACAGAGCUUUCUCAGUUCGUUUUCCUAACAUAUAUAUUAGAGGUGGCUUCUUAGAGGUUUUUACGACGGUCAUCUGUAUAUGGUCCAGAUAAUCAUUAUUAGAGAACAUGAAAGAUAAGUGGAAUCAAGGGAAAACAGGUGAACAUAUGUUUCUUAGAAUUGCUUUUGGUUUUGUUAUUCCUAUUUUUUUCCAACAUAUGUGAGUUAGGUAUGAGUAGCUAUGCUCUGUUUCACUUUUAUCUUCAAAGAAUGCCACCUCCUGGACUCUCCUGGCCAUCUUCUUUAAUCACAUGAAUAUAUCUUUUAAUCAUCAAAUUGUCUUUUAUUGUUUUUUAUUACUGAAGGUUGUUGUAAUGGAAUUUAAAUGUAUUGUAUGUUAUAAGGUAAUUGAAUUGUUUGUUUUACGUUUGUGAUUGAA
Long non-coding RNA from Helianthus annuus (common sunflower), 2122 nucleotides. RefSeq lists it as uncharacterized. The record is from RefSeq and is a predicted model, not a curated record. NCBI's taxonomy places the organism in Eukaryota, Viridiplantae, Streptophyta, Magnoliopsida, Asterales, Asteraceae. The transcript is spliced from 7 exons.